Molecule: ribosomal RNA, 253 nt
Filed under: uncultured bacterium
Lineage: Bacteria
Description: partial 16S ribosomal RNA
Rfam family: Bacterial small subunit ribosomal RNA
Source: RNAcentral
UACAGAGGGUGCGAGCGUUAAUCGGAAUUACUGGGCGUAAAGCGUGCGUAGACGGUUAUUUAAGUCGGGUGUGAAAGCCCCGGGCUCAACCUGGGAAUUGCAUUCGAGACUGAAUAGCUAGGGUACGGUAGAGGGAAGUGGAAUUUCCGGUGUAGCGGUGAAAUGCGUAGAUAUCGGAAGGAACAUCAGUGGCGAAAGCGGCCCCCUGGGCUGGUACUGACGCUGAUGCGCGAAAGCGUGGGGAGCAAACAGG